CGGAAUAGUACCGAGGCUCCACCCCCCGGAUACCGGGGCUUCGGCCCAUCCUCCCAGAUUCAAGGAUGGGAAACCUCCAACAGGAGCUAAAGCACAAGCAGCUGCUGCUGGAGGGGCUGGCAGGGGGGCCGUCUGUCCCCAGACGCUGGAGUCUCCAGCCUCCUCCCCAGCUGGCCCCUGGGGAGGAGGUCUGAGCAUGGGAGAGGCUCACCUGAGCCUCUCACACGGUAUGGAGGGGGCUGUGGGAGCCCAUACCCAGAGAUGACCCCAGUCCUGGCUCACCUCAAGUGGGUGCUACCCGCAGGUACCACUGCCAUCCUCCACAGGUGAGGAGCGAGCGGUGAGGCACGGACAAAUGAGGGGGUUGAUCUAGGUGUGUGCAGCUGGUCUGUGGUGGGGUCCAGAUUCGAGCUCAGCUCUAAGGACCCCCAAGCUCUGGCCCUAACCACAAUACAUAAGCUCCCAGGCCAUGCCCGCGAGUAAGAGCAUCAUCCUGCACCUGGAGACUAGGGCAGGGACAGGGUGUGCCAGGACCAAGAUGUCCGCCAGGGUCCCGGGCAUCCACCCUGACCCAGACCUGGGCUCACCCAACACCAGUUGACCGUCUCUAAGGAUCAGGUACCUGGGGUGUCAGCUGGAGGGAUGGGGGCUGCCUAAGGCCCUGCCUGCCUGAUUCCCUGGCACCCCAAACGGGUCUGUGCCACCUCACCACUUCCCAGGGGGCUCUCCCUCCCCAGCUGAAGGACAAAAAGGAAGAUUAUCAGGAAGACUGGAAGAGGUAAUGGGUGUGGACACGGCUGGUGCAGUAUCUCCCGGCUAGGCAAGGAGAGGGAAGUGUGAGUAUUCUCUUGGCCAGAAAGCCCAGGAACGUCCAAAUCCUAUGUAGCCAAGAGGAUGCCAAAGAAUGUCUUUAUUCCCGCCUGGCCUGAAAUGGUCUAGAAUGGGGUUUAGGGUUUGGGCUCAAGACCAGGAUAAGGUCUCCCUGCUCCCUAAGCCUAGAACUUACCAGUAGCCCACAGCUAGUCGCAUGGAUGCCCCUGUGCCAGGAUGCUGGUGAGGCUCACCCUGUCACCCUUCUGUCUCCUGGACGAGAAGUGUAGGGAGAGCCACCCAAUGGGAGCCAUCCAUCUGAAAUCGGGUGAGUGUCUCUGCCCCCACAUCAACAGGGACCUUGAUAGGACAUAAUGGCUGCUCGCUGAAGGCCUAGCCCCAUGUGAUGAACCUUUUGUGCCCCACUUUAUUGGACCCUCUCUCCAAGCUUGGGAGUCAGAACUACAGCCGGAUCCAUGACACAGGUGACAGACAGAGGCUCCCAGAAGUUAAGUGACUUGCUCCAACAGCUCAGAAGUGGCAGGGUGGGGAACUAGACUCAGGCUAUGGGGCAUUGGGUGUGAGGUCCUCAACCUCUCCCAGGUUCUCCCUGAAGGCUUCCGCUCCUUCGCCCUCUGACCGCCUAAAACCCUCUGUCUGAACCACCCCAAUUAGCUCUCCUGACCCUAUACUUAUGCCAUGAGUGGUUAGGAGCAACAAAGCAGCAGGCGAAACCCAGACCUUGGGUCCUGGACAGCCUUACCCUCUCUGAUCCCCAGGUACCCGGGGAGGGGAGCCCACACCACCUCCCAGGGCCGGGGAGGGGCUUAAAUGAGCUCUGAGCAUAGUGCCUGGUUCAAGGCAAUCACUCAAUUAAUGAUACCUUCAGAAUGCUGGCUGCAGACUUGUCUGUCUGUCUUGCUCAUCUGCCUGCAGAAUCCCUGAGGGAGAGCAGCAGGCCCUCCAUCCAUCCCCACCCUCGCUACCCAGCCUGGGGCCUGCAGCACACGGCCAGGACUCGAUGGGCACGAAAACACUCACUGCCCCCAGCAGAGACCUGGAGAAGGGAAGAGCUGUGCCCCACCCCCCCAUCCCAGAGGAGGAGCCGAGCUCUCCCCACAAUUCCCAGCUCCCAGCCUUCCAGCUCUAAUCAAGGAGCAAACACAAAGAGGGAAUCUCUAAACAUUUAGAAAACGCGGGAACUCUGUGCCCCCACGUGGCGCCGUGGGGAUUUAUAAAGAACAAAUCAUGCCUGACAAACUUGAUAGCUUUCUUGAUAGAAUUACAAGACCGGUAGAUGAAGGAAAUGCAGGCAAGGUAAUAUAUCUUGAUUUUUAGCAAAGCAUUUGAUACAGCGCCUCAAGUAAUCUUACAAAAUUAAUUCAAACAGACUUGGCCCUAAGCACUUGUCAUGGGGCCGAAAGCAGGAGGGGGUAGGUCCCAAGGGUCCUGAGCGAAGGAGGCGAGCCCAGGGGGAAGGGGCUGCAGGACAGAGUCUGGGAGUGGGGGCAGGGCUGCCCAGACCCGGCACUGGGUCAGAUCUUAUCCGACAUCUUCAUUAAUGAUCCUGAGAGAGGGAGUAAACAGUCCGUUAAUGAAAUUUGCAGAGGAUAUUAAAUUGGAAGGUGUUGUGAACACCAAUGAGGACAGCAAAGCGGUCCAGAGAGACCUGGCGGGGGAAGAACCUUGGCAGGAAACUGCUAUUUGGUGGGGGUGGGAUGGGGUGGGGUGGAUGUGUGGGCUGGGCAGCACCUGGGGCCACCCAGAGAGCCAGGGAAGAGGGAAGGGCAUCCCCAGUACUGGGGUGGAGCUGGGAGCAGCCGCGGCUAGCCGGGGUGCGGGUCACGGGAGCAAACCACAAUCUUGGUUUUCCCAUCUGUAAAACAGAAGAAAGGGCUGGUAGAUAUGGAGGGGUCUCAGACAGCUGGUCGUGAUGGGGCGUGAGGGAGGGAGCUCAGAGCUGAAGCCCACCUUACAGGAGGGGAGCAAGGGUUAUCUGCAGGCCAGGGAGAGGAUGGUGGCAAGGCAGAGAAGGGCUGGUGAGGGAGACUGGCUGAGCCAUCCCUAGUGCCCCCAAUGUCCCCGAGCCAGGGCUCUGACACUGCUGGGGCAGGUGCUGCGGGGUAAGGGGGCCCCCUCUCCCAGCUGGCUGGACAAUGACACAUCCGCUGGGGGCUCCGGCUAGAGCCCCGAGCUGUCCAGACUCGCAGGGUGUGCUGGGAACACUUCGGCAAUAGAAGUUCUAACCUGGAGGAUGGAGUGCGGGAAGGCAGGGUCUGUUUUCUUUCUGGAGAGUUCCUGAUCCCACUUUCAUCAGGAAGUUGGGGCCUCGCCAAAAUCAGGAAGAGCUGCCCCACCCCAGACUCUUCUCUCUCUCCUCAGAGCCUGGACCUGUCCUGCCCCUCUCCCUCUGGCCCGAUCCCAAGGAGGCUGAGGCAGAAAGCUGCCCAUCCAUCUGGACUUGGAGAAUUUGUUCCCACAAGGCUCCUAGACAGGUGGGGUUUGAACAGGAGCCAGGCCUCCCUAGCACGGUGACGGGCCCUCAGCAACCUAAAUAAAUGCUUUGUGGGAGGAAGAAGUGGAUGGCUGGUUCCCAGCCGGGGCAGCUGGGGGAGGCUCUUCCAAAGCAAGAGGCCAGCCCUGCCUGAUGUCAAGACCACGUGCCCAAGAGGAUAGACCCAGGUGACCACACAGGCGGUGCUCCUUCCAACCCCCUGAGUUAAUAAUAAUGACACUUACUGAACAUUCGCUAUGGCUCCGUUAUGAGUGAGCUCCUCAUAUCAACAUAUUUAACCUUCACAGCCCCCCCCCCCAAGAGGUAGGUGCUCUUUCCUCCCCAUUUCACAGAGGAGGAAAGUGAGGCAUAGGGCGGCAGCGAUGAGCCUGGACACCUAGCCAGGAGGCCCAUGCAGAAGUAGCAGUCUGCCAAGAGCCGCAAAGGAAGCUGAGCAGCUCCCGAUGGGGGGACCCCAGUGUGGGGAGCGGCAGCCCCUCCUGCAGUGACCCCAGAGCCUUGCCCAGCCUCUCCCGGCCCCCAUCAAAGGGAGUUGGCCCAACUCCUGCCACACUUGUGGAGCCCGAUUUUACUAUAUGUUUCUCUUCUCCCCCACCACUGCUGCGCUACCCGAGUCCUUAGAACAAGUCUGUUUCCAUGGAAACCAUACAGUGACUCAGGGCUUCGGGACCUUCUCUGAACCAGAUUAUGAAUAUCGAAUGCUUCCUCCCCGCACCAAUGCAGAGUGAGUUAGAAAAGUAAAAAGAGAGCCACAGUGGGCAAAGGGAAGGAGACAGGGGCGUAGGCAAGGGGGACCCAGACGGGUACAAGCCUGCCCCCCACCCAUGAAAACCAGCCUUCUGGGCCCCUCUGCAGACUCAGGGGAGCACAGAUGUACAUCUGUGUGUGUCUGCAGCCAGCAAACACGACCCCUACAUCAGCACCAUGAGCACCACCCUUCCUCGGGAACUAAGACCCUGUGGGUGGGGGACAGGGAGGUAAGGGGGAUCUGCAUCCUUCCUACUUGGGGCGUGAAUGUGGCAGAGGUAGCUGAGAGGCCAGGGAGGAGGAAAGCUGUCUGCAAGAGGAGCUUGACUUCCAACGUCGAGGAGGAAACCUCUGGCCAAAAGCACUGCAAUAUUUAGCAAAGAGGGAAAUUUGGAUUUUCAGGGGGAAGUGUGUUUCUGCUUUGAGAUGAGGAGGCUGUUAAGUAUAUGUGCCAGGAGGGGGGCGUGACCAGGAUUUCAAAGCCCCAGCAGGGUUGUGUGGAUCAUUAGCAGAGACUUCCUCCCCGUUGCCCCCACCCUGGCCUGGCCUAGGGCAGCUCACCUGCCCCAGUGGAGACAUAGCAGGGAAAUGAAAGUUUGUAGUGCCAGGCUCCUGGCCUCCCACAGGGGGCUAAGGCCCAAGGGCAGCAAAUCCACCCCCUCCUUUCGCCAGCUGUCCCUGAAGACCCAGGAAGGAGGGGAAGAGAACAGGUUGGCGGCUUGAUACCUCCCUGGUGAAUCCAAUGUGUGAGUCAUGUCGGUGAGAACACUUGGAAAAAAGAAACAGGGUCAUGGUGAUGCCUGUGAGUGUCCCCAGUUGCUGAGGACUGGAGCCUUGGAACCGCCUGCCCAGGUAAGGUCUCUGCCUAAGACAGCCAGCCCCAUCGUAAGGGAUCCAGAAAGCCCCAAAGAUGGGUACCUGGUACCAUAGCCCCCACCAGCUUUCCUCUUAAUACCUACAGUUCCUUUGGCUUGCCAAAGCAGCUACUUUCCCAGCCAGGGGGCCUGCCCCCUGCCCCUAAUCCUAGGUCCCCUCCGCUCCCUGCCCUACCAGCCCUCCAAAAGAUGCAGGGCUCAAGGCUGUCCUUCUUAGGAGCCUCCUGCUUAGGAACAGUGUUCAAGUCCGUCGGAAGGAAACCUGCAGCAGAGGCCGGGAAAGGCAGUCAGCUUCCAUCUGCACCCAUAUCUGAAUCUCGGAUUUCCAGCUGUAGCCUCUCCAUCAGUCCCGGACUCGCCCCAGAGCCACGGAGGGUUUGAAAACUCCAGGUAGCCGGGGAAAGCCUUGGCACCUGUUUCCUGGUCCGGAUGAUGGAGAUCCUGGUCCUCACCUCCUGGGACCAGAUGAUCAUCUCUGGAGAGACACACAGAAACCGUGACUGCCUCGGGGAAAAGAAGUCACACUGCUGGACCGGUGGGAGGAAGACCUUCCAUGAUAAACCCUUUCCUUAACCCAUGGGAGUGUACCACUUCUUCAAAUUCAAACACCAAGCAAAA
Long non-coding RNA from Zalophus californianus (California sea lion), 5565 nucleotides. RefSeq lists it as uncharacterized. The record is from RefSeq and is a predicted model, not a curated record. Lineage: Eukaryota; Metazoa; Chordata; Mammalia; Carnivora; Otariidae. The transcript is spliced from 3 exons.